UACGCAGGGGGCUAGCGUUGUUCGGAAUUACUGGGCGUAAAGCGCACGUAGGCGGCUUCUUAAGGCUGGGGUGAAAGCCCGGAGCUCAACUCCGGAACUGCCUUGGAUACUGGGAGUCUCGAGGAUGGAAGAGGUCAGUUGAAAGCCGAGUGUAGAGGUGAAAUUCGUAGAUAUUCGGCGGAACACCAGUGGCGAAGGCGGCUGGCUGGUCCAUUUCUGACGCUGAGGUGCUAAAGUUUGGGGAGCAAACAGG
RNAcentral lists this ribosomal RNA (253 nucleotides) under uncultured bacterium. RNAcentral's name for it is "partial 16S ribosomal RNA". It matches the Rfam family "Bacterial small subunit ribosomal RNA", at positions 524 to 776 of the family's 1533-position model. The record is from RNAcentral.